RNAcentral lists this ribosomal RNA (440 nucleotides) under uncultured bacterium. RNAcentral describes it as "partial 16S ribosomal RNA". It matches the Rfam family "Bacterial small subunit ribosomal RNA", at positions 338 to 795 of the family's 1533-position model. The record is from RNAcentral.
GCUACUGGUGGCAGCAGUGGGGAAUAUUGCACAAUGGGGGAAACCCUGAUGCAGCGACGCCGCGUGAGUGAAGAAGUAUCUCGGUACGUAAAGCUCUAUCAGCAGGGAAGAAAAUGACGGUACCUGACUAAGAAGCCACGGCUAACUACGUGCCAGCAGCCGCGGUAAUACGUAGGGGGCAAGCGUUAUCCGGAUUUACUGGGUGUAAGGGGAGCGUAGACGGCAGCACAAGUCUGGAGUGAAAGCACGGGGCUCAACCCCGGGACGGCUGUGGAGACUGUGCGACUAGAGUGCAGGAGGGGGAAGCGGAAUUCGCGGUGUAGCAGUGAAAUGCGUAGAUAUUGAGAGGAACACUGGUGGCGAAGGCGGGUUACUGGACAGUAACUGACGUUGAGGCACGAAGGCGAGGGGAGCAAACGGGAUUAGAUACCCGAGUAGUC